AUGAACAAAAAAAUGCUGAGUGAAUCGCCAAAGUACUUGGAGAGAACCCAAACAGACAUGGAGAGAACAUCAAAUGCCAGACAAAAAGGCUCCAAGCAGAUGGUGGAUUUAAACCCAGGAUGUUCUUGCAAUUAGCCAAAGGAAUUCCUAAUAAUCACUAACCCAGCAAACAGACCCACGUGCCCAAAGUGGGCAACACAGGGAUGUUGACAUGCUGUGAACUGGAUUAAUGCUGUCUCUCCUGUUUUUUGAGUCAUUCUCAGAUACCCUGCAAGGCGAUAAGUUCCCUGCUAAGUAAGUAUUACUUCUCAAUGAUUUACUUUAACUGUCUGCAAGAGAUGUUAUAAAUUGC
Long non-coding RNA from Oreochromis aureus, 352 nucleotides. Lineage: Eukaryota; Metazoa; Chordata; Actinopteri; Cichliformes; Cichlidae. The record is from Ensembl.